GGGCAGUUAGCUCAGUCAGUUGAGCGUGGUGCUGAUAACACUUAAGGUCGCGGGUUCAAUUCCCACUCAGUCCC
Molecule: transfer RNA, 74 nt
Filed under: Apaloderma vittatum (bar-tailed trogon)
Lineage: Eukaryota; Metazoa; Chordata; Aves; Trogoniformes; Trogonidae
Rfam family: tRNA
About the family: Transfer RNA (tRNA) molecules are approximately 80 nucleotides in length. Their secondary structure includes four short double-helical elements and three loops (D, anti-codon, and T loops).
Source: Rfam by way of RNAcentral